This 211-nucleotide ribosomal RNA is filed under the name Clostridioides difficile. RNAcentral's name for it is "partial 23S ribosomal RNA". It matches the Rfam family "Bacterial large subunit ribosomal RNA", at positions 1 to 210 of the family's 2925-position model. The record is from RNAcentral. Lineage: Bacteria; Bacillati; Bacillota; Clostridia; Peptostreptococcales; Peptostreptococcaceae.
UGGUCAAGUUAUUAAGGGUGCAGGGCGGAUGCCUUGGCACUAGGAGCCGAUGAAGGACGUGAUAAGCUGCGAUAAGCUUCGGGGAGUUGCACGUAAACUUUGAUCCGAAGAUUUCCGAAUGAGGAAACUCACUUAGAGUAAUGUCUAAGUAUCAUUAAGUGAAUACAUAGCUUAAUGAGGGGAACUCAGGGAACUGAAACAUCUAAGUACC